AGUGAACGCUGGCGGUAGGCCUAACACAUGCAAGUCGAACGGCAGCACAGUAAGAGCUUGCUCUUACGGGUGGCGAGUGGCGGACGGGUGAGGAAUACAUCGGAAUCUACUUUUUCGUGGGGGAUAACGUAGGGAAACUGACGCUAAUACCGCAUACGACCUACGGGUGAAAGCAGGGGAUCUUCGGACCUUGCGCGAUAGAAUGAGCCGAUGUCGGAUUAGCUAGUUGGCGGGGUAAAGGCCCACCAAGGCGACGAUCCGUAGCAGGGCUGAGAGGAUGAUCAGCCACACUGGAACUGAGACACGGUCCAGACUCCUACGGGAGGCAGCAGUGGGGAAUAUUGGACAAUGGGCGCAAGCCUGAUCCAGCCAUACCGCGUGGGUGAAGAAGGCCUUCGGGUUGUAAAGCCCUUUUGUUGGGAAAGAAAAGCAGCAGGUUAAUCCCCCGCUGUUCUGACGGUACCCAAAGAAUAAGCACCGGCUAACUUCGUG
This 492-nucleotide ribosomal RNA is filed under the name uncultured bacterium. Its description in RNAcentral is "partial 16S ribosomal RNA". It matches the Rfam family "Bacterial small subunit ribosomal RNA", at positions 29 to 507 of the family's 1533-position model. The record is from RNAcentral.